UACGUAGGUGGCGAGCGUUGUCCGGAUUUACUGGGCGUAAAGCGCGCGCAGGCGGCAGUCUAAGUCCUCUGUGAAAUCACCCGGCUCAACUGGGUGGCUGCGGAGGAGACUGGGCAGCUUGAGGGGCCUAGAGGCCGGUGGAACUCCCGGUGUAGUGGUGAAAUGCGUAGAGAUCGGGAAGAACACCAGUGGCGAAGGCGGCCGGCUGGGGGGGCCCUGACGCUGAGGCGCGAGAGCGUGGGGAGCAAACCGG
Molecule: ribosomal RNA, 253 nt
Filed under: uncultured bacterium
Lineage: Bacteria
Description: partial 16S ribosomal RNA
Rfam family: Bacterial small subunit ribosomal RNA
Source: RNAcentral